Molecule: ribosomal RNA, 664 nt
Filed under: uncultured cyanobacterium
Lineage: Bacteria; Bacillati; Cyanobacteriota
Description: bacterial SSU rRNA
Rfam family: Bacterial small subunit ribosomal RNA
Source: RNAcentral
CGGACGGGUGAGUAACGCGUGAGAAUCUGCCCCCAGGUUCGGGAUAACGGAGGGAAACCACCGCUAAUACCGGAUGUGACUGGGAAAGUCAAAGGUUAACUGCCUGGGGAUGAGCUUGCGUCCGAUUAGCUAGUUGGUGGGGUAAGAGCCUACCAAGGCGACGAUCAGUAGCUGGUCUGAGAGGAUGAUCAGCCACACUGGGACUGAGACACGGCCCAGACUCCUACGGGAGGCAGCAGUGGGGAAUUUUCCGCAAUGGGCGCAAGCCUGACGGAGCAAUACCGCGUGAGGGAGGAAGGCCCUUGGGUUGUAAACCUCUUUUGUCAGGGAAGAAGGUCUGACGGUACCUGACGAAUCAGCAUCGGCUAACUCCGUGCCAGCAGCCGCGGUAAUACGGAGGAUGCAAGCGUUAUCCGGAUUUAUUGGGCGUAAAGGGUCCGCAGGUGGUUAUUCAAGUCUGCUGUCAAAGCGCGGAGCUUAACUCCGUACAGGCGGUGGAAACUGAGGAACUAGAGUCUGGUAGGGGUCGCGGGAAUUCCCAGUGUAGCGGUGAAAUGCGUAGAUAUUGGGAAGAACACCGGCGGCGAAAGCGCGCGACUGGACCGGAACUGACACUGAGGGACGAAAGCUAGGGGAGCGAAAGGGAUUAGAUACCCCUGUAGUC